GACGAACGCUGGCGGCGUGCUUAACACAUGCAAGUCGAACGGAAAGGCCCUGCUUUUGUGGGGUGCUCGAGUGGCGAACGGGUGAGUAACACGUGAGUAACCUGCCCUUGACUUUGGGAUAACUUCAGGAAACUGGGGCUAAUACCGGAUAGGAGCUCCUGCUGCAUGUUGGGGGUUGGAAAGUUUCGGCGGUUGGGGAUGGACUCGCGGCUUAUCAGCUUGUUGGUGGGGUAGUGGCUUACCAAGGCUUUGACGGGUAGCCGGCCUGAGAGGGUGACCGGCCACAGUGGGACUGAGAUACGGCACAGAAUCCUAAGGGAGGCAGAAGUGGGGAAUAUUGCAAAAUGGGCGGAAGCCUGAUGCAGCAACGCAGAGUGCGGGAUGACGGCCUUCGGGUUGUAAACCGCUUUAGCCUGUGACGAAGCGUGAGUGACGGUAAUGGGUAAAGAAGCACCGGAUAACUACGUG
This 468-nucleotide ribosomal RNA is filed under the name uncultured bacterium. Its description in RNAcentral is "partial 16S ribosomal RNA". It matches the Rfam family "Bacterial small subunit ribosomal RNA", at positions 28 to 507 of the family's 1533-position model. The record is from RNAcentral.